Molecule: transfer RNA, 90 nt
Filed under: Phialemonium atrogriseum
Lineage: Eukaryota; Fungi; Ascomycota; Sordariomycetes; Cephalothecales; Cephalothecaceae
Description: tRNA-Glu
Rfam family: tRNA
About the family: Transfer RNA (tRNA) molecules are approximately 80 nucleotides in length. Their secondary structure includes four short double-helical elements and three loops (D, anti-codon, and T loops). Further hydrogen bonds mediate the characteristic L-shaped molecular structure. tRNAs have two regions of fundamental functional importance: the anti-codon, which is responsible for specific mRNA codon recognition, and the 3' end, to which the tRNAs corresponding amino acid is attached (by aminoacyl-tRNA synthetases). tRNAs cope with the degeneracy of the genetic code in two manners: having more than one tRNA (with a specific anti-codon) for a particular amino acid; and 'wobble' base-pairing, i.e. permitting non-standard base-pairing at the 3rd anti-codon position.
Source: RNAcentral
UCGGGUGUGGUGUAGCGGUAACAUCGCUGACUCUCACUACUCAGUAGUGCCUCUUCUCAGCAGCCCGGGGUUCGACUCCCCGCAUCCGAG